This 510-nucleotide ribosomal RNA is filed under the name uncultured bacterium. RNAcentral's name for it is "bacterial SSU rRNA". It matches the Rfam family "Bacterial small subunit ribosomal RNA", at positions 8 to 518 of the family's 1533-position model. The record is from RNAcentral.
AGAGUUGAUCAUGGCUCAGGAUGAACGCUGGCGGCGUGCCUAACACAUGCAAGUCGAGCGGAGAGCCGUAACGGAAGCCUUCGGGUGGAAGAUGCGGUUACUUAGCGGCGGACGGGUGAGUAACGCGUGGAUAACCUGGCUCAUACAGGGGGAUAACAGAGAGAAAUUUCUGCUAAUACCGCAUAAGCGCACGUAACCGCAUGGUUAUGUGUGAAAAAGCCGAGACGGUAUGAGAUGGAUCCGCGUCCGAUUAGCCAGUUGGCGGGGUAACGGCCCACCAAAGCGACGAUCGGUAGCCGGCCUGAGAGGGCGGACGGCCACAUUGGGACUGAGACACGGCCCAGACUCCUACGGGAGGCAGCAGUGGGGGAUAUUGCACAAUGGAGGGAACUCUGAUGCAGCGACGCCGCGUGGGUGAAGAAGUAUUUCGGUAUGUAAAGCCCUAUCAGCAGGGACGAUAAUGACGGUACCUGACUAAGAAGCCCCGGCUAACUACGUGCCAGCCGCUGC